Molecule: long non-coding RNA, 1221 nt
Filed under: Equus asinus (donkey)
Lineage: Eukaryota; Metazoa; Chordata; Mammalia; Perissodactyla; Equidae
Description: lncRNA (ENSEASG00005033962.1)
Source: RNAcentral
CACCAAACAGACACUGGUCACUCAGGGUUGUCGCCUGAUCAUCAGGAAGGCUCACCAGGAGGCCGGUGACUGUGAACACGCUGGGGAAGGUUGGACCUGAGUUUGAGUCCCUUGUCCUUCUGAGGGCCUUCAUUUCAGGAAUUCCAAGUCUUCGGAUUGGGAGGAAGUGAAGAUGAAGGAGCCGUCCUUUGUGUCCAGCAUGCGAAGGCAGAGGAUCUCCAGCCCAGGGAAGGGGCUCCCCUGCACCCACAGGCCUCAGUCACGCUCAGAUGGAGGUCAAGCUGGGUGGAGGCUGCCUGGUGUCUUGGGCAACCUGAGCGGAGGGGGAGAGAAGAGCUCUGCUUUAAGACCCAGGCCCACUCCUGAGGAAGGGACCAUAAGGCCUUGGUUCUUGGCCUCCUGGCAGCUUUGGGAAAGCUCCUCGUGAUGUGUUGAAUCUCACAACCUCUCUAAGCACUCAAGCACUCGCAGCAGCUCUGCCGUCUCCUCUUCUUGUUCAACCAUUUGGCUCUCUCUCCCUUCAGUUCCUGAGCCAGGCCAGUUAAUUACUCCUUCAGCAUUGCGUUGGUCCUCUUCACCUUUCUGUGAGUGUCUGUGAGGCUGGCUAUAUUCAGUGACUCUUUCUCCAGCCUGGCGAUCUCUAAAGAUGAUUGCAUCCCCAGAUACUCCUUUUGAGCAGCGCCAAGCUUGUCAACGAGCUGGCAUUUCUCCUCAAUCCCUGCAGCCACUGCUUCUGCCAGCCGCUGUUCACGUUGUACAUAAAGUUGACUUCUAACAGACUGAACCAGUCUGAAUAUAAAUAAGAUGACCACCAGUAAACUGAGGGCAGGUGGGCACAUCACUGUCUCCCACUGGAGGCUGUGGAAAGUGAGUCGUGGACUCAGGAUAUCGGGCAGCAGCUCCACCACCACCUCGCCCAGCUUGCCAAGGAUCAUCCCCAAGCCAAGCUGCACAGAGGACAGCAGCCCCUCCAUGGCACUGACCCACCACAGGGCUCUGCCCAGUCACCACAGAUCCACCAGCCACAGCACACUCCAGGGAACACCCCGACAUUCCGCCUGGAACCCAACCAGCAACUGACAGUCUGGAAAGACCUUUUCAGAUCCACUCUCUUAGCAACUUUCAAGUAAACAAGACGGAAUUGCUAACUACAGUCCCCAUGCUGUACAUCAGAUCCCUAGAAAUUCUCCAUCUGAUAAGGGGACGUCUGUGCGCUUUGAC